AGAGCAACUUAUAAUUUGAUCUUAGUUUUGUAAAAAGAUAAAAUACACACAAGAAUAACAAACAUGCCGCUAUAUAUAACAUAUUGGACAAAGCCUUGCAUUGACCAUGCUUGGAAUGUUCCAGUUUAUCAACCAAGAAAUCAACUCAAAAUAUUGGAAAUCAAUUAAAUUGCACUGGUGAUGAUACUUUACAUGACCUGAAAACUAGAAAUGAACACUUUUUUGCCCUGAAAUUUAUCAUUACUCAGUGCUGAGGAUUCAACAUUUUGGCUACAAAAUCAUGUUUUCACUUGACAUUUGGUACAAGCGAGAGACUUUAUGCUACUCUUGGGACAGGAAUGCUUUCUGCAGCUGGCAAUGUCACUGAGCGCAACAGCUCCAAGGAGAAAACAAGCCCAAGAAAAUGAGAAAGAAUGGUGUUUGCUGAUGCCUGCGUAAGACCAACCAAAUGAUGAUGGAAGACUAUCAAAUGAUUAGGCUGGACUGUUAAUCGCUAUCUCUAUAAUAAGUUAUAGCAGUUGUUGUGUCGUGCCCUUGAUAUAACAUUUUGGACCAUCCCACUAGUUGACUCUUCAUUGUGAUGUGAAUUCUUUAAUCAAAACUGAUUUCCUGGUUUUAUAUUUAGUUUAUUUUGCUUGGACUAAGGUGCAAAGGAUUGAAUGCAUAUCCAUGUAAAACGAGGGUACAUUCAACAUUUUCAUAGUUCGUCCUAUAUUUGGAGGAUUAUAACAUCGUACCGAUAUCCAAUCUAGUAGUCCAUUACGUAUACAGAGAUAAAGCAAAAAAUCAGAUAUGAAUGAGUACCUGCACCAAGAAUACAUCCAAUGCAAGAACUGGAUUGUAACCAGGAGAGAUUCCCUGGUAAUAAGGAUUUGCUGAGGAAGUAAGAGCCUUUGCUACUAGCAAUCCAACUGUUGCUUGCAUGCCAAGAAUAGCAGCACCCAUUCCUAACAGAUUCACAACUAUGCCAUUUUUCAAGCCUUUCACAACAUCAGCACGAGGUGGUGCCUGAAACCAUACACAAUCAAUGGUUAUAAGAAGCUUAAGAGAAUCCCAUACAAUGAUGCAUGUAAAUCUAUUUCAGUCAUGUCAAGAAGGCUACUGUUUAUUUCAGUCAUGUCAAGAAGGCUACUGUUUACUGCAAUGAUAAAGUUUAUUGGCUUGAUAAUAAGUGUACGAUGAACUGAUCAAAGCAAAAGCCGAAUUUCACAUAAAAAAAGCAACUGAACAAACGGAUUUAAUAAUUGAACCGAACGAUUUCGAUUCGGUUCAAAACCAUUGGUUUGCUCUCAAACACCCAAUUUCUUCCCUAAAUAGCAAACCCAGCAAAUAAAUUACACAAACCGAAAAGCAAAUCCAAUUCCACAGCAAAUAUAAUUACACAAAUCAUUAACAACUUAACACAACAACAGUAAUUUUACAGCAAAUCAAAGCUAUUCAUGCAACCAUUCUAUACAAAUCACCCAUUCUAUACAGAUUUCAAGUACACAAAUUACAAAUAUUUUAUUCACGCAACAGCAAACCAAUUGAUGCCCUCGAUUCAAAGCCCAAAAAGGAAAAGUUAAGAAUGUCACUUGAAAAGUUUCUAGGCAACGAUACCCAGAUUAUCAAAUUCAAAUGACACUUUUGACUUGCCCUUUUAGGAUUUAAGGGUGAAGAUGAUGCAUGCAUGAAGACAGUGGUGAUGGUGAUGAGAAGAAAAAGAAGAACAAGAAUAAGAUGGUGGUGAGAAAUCGAUUUGGUUCCAUUUUGUCUUUUAAUUUUUUUACUAAAGUAACUGAACCAAACCAAAAAA
RNAcentral lists this unclassified non-coding RNA (1795 nucleotides) under Hevea brasiliensis (rubber tree). Lineage: Eukaryota; Viridiplantae; Streptophyta; Magnoliopsida; Malpighiales; Euphorbiaceae. The record is from RNAcentral.